This 69-nucleotide transfer RNA is filed under the name Synodus macrops (triplecross lizardfish). Its description in RNAcentral is "tRNA-Ala". It matches the Rfam family "tRNA". Rfam says of the family: Transfer RNA (tRNA) molecules are approximately 80 nucleotides in length. Lineage: Eukaryota; Metazoa; Chordata; Actinopteri; Aulopiformes; Synodontidae. The record is from RNAcentral.
AAGGCCUUAGCUUAGUUAAAGUGUCUGUUUUGCAUGCAGAAGAUGUAGGAUAAUAGCCUGCAGGUUUUA